AUUUAACGCUAGCGGCAGGCCUAACACAUGCAAGUCGAACGAGUGGCGGACGGGUGAGUAAUGUCUGGGAACCUGCCUGAUGGAGGGGGAUAACUACUGGAAACGGUCGCUAAUACCGCAUACCAUCAGAUGUUCCCAGAUGGGAUUGGCUUGUUGGUGGGGUAACGGCUCACCAAGGCGACGAUCCCUAGCUGGUCUGAGAGGAUGACCAGCGACACUGGAACUGAGACACGGUCCAGAUUCCUACGGGAGGCAGCAGAGGGGAAUAUUGCACAAUGGGCGCAAGCCUGAUGCAGCCAUGCCGCGUGUAUGAAGAAGGCCUUCGGGUUGUAAAGUACGUUCAGCGGGGAGGCGUUACCCGCAGAAGAAGCACCGGCUAACUCCGUGCCAGCCGCCGCGGUAAUUC
This 406-nucleotide ribosomal RNA is filed under the name uncultured bacterium. Its description in RNAcentral is "partial 16S ribosomal RNA". It matches the Rfam family "Bacterial small subunit ribosomal RNA", at positions 30 to 526 of the family's 1533-position model. The record is from RNAcentral.